AGAACGAACGCUGGCGGCAUGCUUAACACAUGCAAGUCGAACGCUUGUCCGGCUUCGGCCGGGCGAGAGUGGCGCACGGGUGAGUAGCGCGUGGGAACCUGCCCUGUUGUGGGGGAUAACCGAGGGAAACCUCGGCUAAUACCGCAUAAGCCGGCU
Molecule: ribosomal RNA, 156 nt
Filed under: uncultured bacterium
Lineage: Bacteria
Description: partial small subunit ribosomal RNA
Rfam family: Bacterial small subunit ribosomal RNA
Source: RNAcentral